UGUUUCGGCUAGGGGGCCAUCCCGGCUUACCAACCCGAUGCAAACUGCGAAUACCGGAGAAUGUUAUCACGGGAGACACACGGCGGGUGCUAACGUCCGUCGUGAAGAGGGAAACAACCCAGACCGCCAGCUAAGGUCCCAAAGUCAUGGUUAAGUGGGAAACGAUGUGGGAAGGCCCAGACAGCCAGGAUGUUGGCUUAGAAGCAGCCAUCAUUUAAAGAAAGCGUAAUAGCUCACUGGUCGAGUCGGCCUGCGCGGAAGAUGUAACGGGGCUAAACCAUGCACCGAAGCUGCGGCAGCGACGCUUAUGCGUUGUUGGGUAGGGGAGCGUUCUGUAAGCCUGUGAAGGUGGCCUGUGAGGGUUGCUGGAGGUAUCAGAAGUGCGAAUGCUGACAUAAGUAACGAUAAAGCGGGUGAAAAGCCCGCUCGCCGGAAGACCAAGGGUUCCUGUCCAACGUUAAUCGGGGCAGGGUGAGUCGACCCCUAAGGCGAGGCCGAAAGGCGUAGUCGAUGGGAAACGGGUUAAUAUUCCCGUACUUGGUGUUACUGCGAAGGGGGGACGGAGAAGGCUAUGUUGGCCGGGCGACGGUUGUCCCGGUUUAAGCGUGUAGGUGUGUGUUCCAGGUAAAUCCGGUU
This 636-nucleotide ribosomal RNA is filed under the name Salmonella enterica. Its description in RNAcentral is "partial 23S ribosomal RNA". It matches the Rfam family "Bacterial large subunit ribosomal RNA", at positions 911 to 1547 of the family's 2925-position model. RNAcentral also lists the same sequence under 2 other names. The record is from RNAcentral. Lineage: Bacteria; Pseudomonadati; Pseudomonadota; Gammaproteobacteria; Enterobacterales; Enterobacteriaceae.